This 396-nucleotide ribosomal RNA is filed under the name uncultured bacterium. RNAcentral's name for it is "bacterial SSU rRNA". It matches the Rfam family "Bacterial small subunit ribosomal RNA", at positions 32 to 419 of the family's 1533-position model. The record is from RNAcentral.
AAUCAACGCUGGCGGCGUGCCUCAGACAUGCAAGUCGAACGAUUAAACUUGCCUUCGGGCAAGAUAUAAAGUGGCGCACGGGUGAGUAACACGUAAGUAAUCUACCUUCGAGUGGGGAAUAACGUCGGGAAACCGACGCUAAUACCGCAUAAUGCAGCGGCACCUAAUGGUGACAGUUGUUAAAGGAGCAAUUCGCUUGAAGAGGAGCUUGCGGCAGAUUAGCAGUUGGUAAGGUAAUGGCUUACCAAGGCUACGAUCUGUAACCGGUCUAAGAGGACGGUCGGUCACACUGACACUGAAUAACGGGUCAGACUCCUACGGGAGGCAGCAGUCGGGAAUUUUGGGCAAUGGGCGAAAGCCUGACCCAGCAACGCCGCGUGAAGGAUGAAGUAUUUC